CGGGGCGUAGCGCAGUCUGGUAGCGCACCUGCUUUGGGAGCAGGGGGUCCACAGUUCGAAUCUGUGCGCCCCGACCA
This 77-nucleotide transfer RNA is filed under the name Rhodospirillales bacterium. Its description in RNAcentral is "tRNA-Pro". It matches the Rfam family "tRNA". From Rfam's summary of the family: Transfer RNA (tRNA) molecules are approximately 80 nucleotides in length. Their secondary structure includes four short double-helical elements and three loops (D, anti-codon, and T loops). Lineage: Bacteria; Pseudomonadati; Pseudomonadota; Alphaproteobacteria; Rhodospirillales. The record is from RNAcentral.